Molecule: small RNA, 88 nt
Filed under: Cochleicola gelatinilyticus
Lineage: Bacteria; Pseudomonadati; Bacteroidota; Flavobacteriia; Flavobacteriales; Flavobacteriaceae
Description: Ulvibacter sp. LPB0005 Flavo-1 RNA
Rfam family: Flavo-1 RNA
Source: Rfam by way of RNAcentral
AAAUUGCGUUAGGGAUUGAGGCGGCAUCCUUUUUUAAAACCUUUUUUAGUAAGUUUUAAAAAAGAUAUAGCAGAAAGCCCGACAACUG